GAUGAACGCUGGCGGCGUGCCUAAUACAUGCAAGUCGAGCGAACAGAUCAGGAGCUUGCUCCUUUGACGUUAGCGGCGGACGGGUGAGUAACACGUGGGUAACCUACCUAUAAGACUGGAAUAACUCCGGGAAACCGGGGCUAAUGCCGGAUAACAUUUAGAACCGCAUGGUUCUAUAGUGAAAGAUGGUUUUGCUAUCACUUAUAGAUGGACCCGCGCCGUAUUAGCUAGUUGGUAAGGUAACGGCUUACCAAGGCAACGAUACGUAGCCGACCUGAGAGGGUGAUCGGCCACACUGGAACUGAGACACGGUCCAGACUCCUACGGGAGGCAGCAGUAGGGAAUCUUCCGCAAUGGGCGAAAGCCUGACGGAGCAACGCCGCGUGAGUGAUGAAGGUCUUCGGAUCGUAAAACUCUGUUAUUAGGGAAGAACAAAUGUGUAAGUAACUGUGCACGUCUUGACGGUACCUAAUCAGAAAGCCACGGCUAACUACGUG
This 497-nucleotide ribosomal RNA is filed under the name uncultured bacterium. Its description in RNAcentral is "partial 16S ribosomal RNA". It matches the Rfam family "Bacterial small subunit ribosomal RNA", at positions 28 to 507 of the family's 1533-position model. The record is from RNAcentral.